GCCCGGCUAGCUCAAUCGGUAGAGCGUGAGACUCUUAAUCUCAAGGUUGCGGGUUCGGUGAGUAGAUCUUGCCUCACUCC
Bisporella sp. PMI_857 is the source of this 80-nucleotide non-coding RNA. The record is from the annotation of a GenBank genome assembly. NCBI's taxonomy places the organism in Eukaryota, Fungi, Ascomycota, Leotiomycetes, Helotiales, Helotiaceae.